RNAcentral lists this transfer RNA (94 nucleotides) under Candidatus Cloacimonadota bacterium. RNAcentral's name for it is "tRNA-Ser". It matches the Rfam family "tRNA". Rfam says of the family: Transfer RNA (tRNA) molecules are approximately 80 nucleotides in length. Their secondary structure includes four short double-helical elements and three loops (D, anti-codon, and T loops). Further hydrogen bonds mediate the characteristic L-shaped molecular structure. tRNAs have two regions of fundamental functional importance: the anti-codon, which is responsible for specific mRNA codon recognition, and the 3' end, to which the tRNAs corresponding amino acid is attached (by aminoacyl-tRNA synthetases). tRNAs cope with the degeneracy of the genetic code in two manners: having more than one tRNA (with a specific anti-codon) for a particular amino acid; and 'wobble' base-pairing, i.e. permitting non-standard base-pairing at the 3rd anti-codon position. Lineage: Bacteria; Pseudomonadati; Candidatus Cloacimonadota. The record is from RNAcentral.
GGAGACGUGUCCGAGCUGGCUCAAGGAGCACGAUUGGAAAUCGUGUAUAUGGUUUAUAGCUGUAUCCAGGGUUCGAAUCCCUGCGUCUCCGCCA